UUCUUCGGGGCAGGGUGAAAUUCCCUACCGGCGGUAAAGUCCGCGACCCGCUUUGGCGGCUGAUAUGGUGAGAUUCCAUAACCGACAGUAAAGUCUGGACGAGAGAAGAA
This 110-nucleotide non-coding RNA is filed under the name human gut metagenome. RNAcentral's name for it is "FMN riboswitch (RFN element)". It matches the Rfam family "FMN riboswitch aptamer (RFN element)". From Rfam's summary of the family: The RFN element is a highly conserved domain that is found frequently in the 5'-untranslated regions of prokaryotic mRNAs that encode for flavin mononucleotide (FMN) biosynthesis and transport proteins. This element is a metabolite-dependent riboswitch that directly binds FMN in the absence of proteins. The record is from RNAcentral.